CUCUCCAGGAAUGAAAGGACUCCUUUCAAAAGAGGGAUAUAAGAUCCAGCGAAAUUGCGCAUUCGGCCACGCAUAAAAUGGUCACAAGAUAAGUACAAAUUCUUGACAAAUAACCCAUCUGACCCUUCUGGGACUUUCUCUAGCUUCAACUUUUUUCCAAUUCGCAAUUCCAUGUCAGUUUCCUUUGGUAUUCCUUCUAUGUAUCCUUUGAAUAUGAUUUGCUUGUUCUCCACUGUUUUUCCUAGUAGCUCAACAGCCUCUGCUUCUUCAUUUCCUGCUUUUUUCUCCAUGUUUUACAACUAUAGAUAGUGUACUCAAAUAAGGCCUUUUUGCAGUAGUUUUAGAAUUAGAUGAUCCCAAGAUAGCAAAUUUGUGAAAUUCUUGUUUCCUUACACAGCUAAACUAGGCAUAAGUAACUGGGGGAAUUUUUGAAAGUUGGGGGUGGGUUGGGAUUGAGAAAUGUGUAGUCAUAGCUGGAGUUAGGUAGGGGCAUUCAUCACAAAAGAACAUUUUCCUGGGAAGGCAAUGAACUAAGUUUAGGACACUAAUGAAAAGGUUGUCUAGUCCAUCCUUCCCUUCAAGAUCUGUCACUUCAGUUGGUCUACUGCAACAACAAAGAGAUGACUAAGUAAGAUACUGAGAACUGUGCUAUUAACUAGCUUUAACUGAUACCCUAUCAUGAAGUAUUACAAAGAGCAUGCAAACUAUCAGUAAUUCACCUAUUAACAAAGGGGGUUGAUCCAAGAGGAUUUGGAGUACAUCAACGAUCUAGUCUACUACUGUGAAGACAAAAAGAAAGUAACGUAGUCAUAUCAUUUAAAACAAAUACGAGUUCUGGUGCUUCUGAGAGUUAUUCUGAAUCAUUCCUAGUAAAUCCUUCUGCAAAUAGAAAGAUCAUUCAAAGAGGUUUGUGUUGGCUUCUGUAGGUGUCCAAUGUCCAUAGAGGAGCAAACACAGGUAAUGACUGAGUUGUAGCGGAUGGACUACAAGGGAUCACAAAGAGGAAGUCAAAAAAAUAACAUAAAAAGAAAAUGAACGGUCAAAAAGAAGAGAGAUAGAUGGAAAGGAAAACUGGAAAUGAGAAGGAAAUGAAAGGAAGAAAUGAUGGACCAGAAAUAGCUUUCUCCAUUUACUCAAGGCAUUUGUUUUGUGCUAAGAGACUUGGCUUCCCCAAGCAGAUGUCUUAUGGACUACAGCAGUGUGUUUUUUCGUUGUGCUCCAGUUAUCAAUGUCGCAAUCAUCUCCUCAGAGAUUCAUCCCUGGUAUCUCUUCGAAAUCAGAGGCAAACUACAGUUGGCAGAUCAAACCACAAACAUUGACUGCCAAAGUCCACAAUGCUCUCCCAGUUUAGCUUGGGAUGGUCAUCUGUAUUAGUUCAACCACCUCUUUUACAUUAAUGCACUGGACGAGACGAGACAUUUGACGUGCAACACAGUUGAAAGCAAACUGAAUAGAGAAAUGAAUGAACCUGUGAAAUUCAAAGAAGCAUUUAACGUAGAGAAAACUGAUUCUCGCAUGAAGACAUGUAAAUGACAUCCAGUUAAAGAUAUACAACCAAGUGCGGAGAGCAAGAAGAUUACUACAGACUAGACUCAGUCUACACCUGUAACAGAGCUUGGCCAGACUCUUACCUUAACCAUGCAAUACAUUGGGAAUGAAUAGCUUUGUCAGCUCUAGUCAAAACAAAGAAAUCAAUAAGUUUCCACACAUGAACACAGAUGGAUUAUCCAGUAAAUUACUAGGCUAACUGAAAUAUGCUUGGCAUAAAAAAAUCAACAUGCUAUUUCUUAAACCCUUACUACAGAUCAGAAGUUGUAUAAACAAAGAAAGAGUCACUGCUUGUAUAACUGUGUGAGAAAGCACGGGAGAAAAAUAUAACUGAUAUUAAACAUGAUACAAUGAGCCCUAUAUAUAAUACACAUAACCUAAGGGAUAUGAAGGCCCUUCCAACUGAGGUUGGCUGAGAAUAGGCUAAGUCUGAGCGUUUAAGAACUAAAUCCUUGCAAAAGGUUCCCCUGCAUUGAAGAAUGAGAAGGAAAUUCAGACUAAAUGUAAAUCAUAAGCAAUCCAAAUCUAUGCAGAGCUUUAAACAAGGAGUUUAAUUUAAAGAAAAUAGUUAUUACCCAUUUUACCAACUUCAAGUAACUAAUUUGACCAAAUUUAUAAUGUAAUAAUUAUUUUGCAGAGAGCACGGUCGGACAAUCUCUAUUUGCUAAAUAGAAGCACAUCUGAGCAUCUACUAAGCAACAUCCAA
RNAcentral lists this long non-coding RNA (2254 nucleotides) under Nicotiana benthamiana. RNAcentral describes it as "long non-coding RNA (NBEN_LNC013160)". The record is from RNAcentral. Lineage: Eukaryota; Viridiplantae; Streptophyta; Magnoliopsida; Solanales; Solanaceae.